GGCGCUUUCCGCGCCUCCCCGCUAGUGCCAGCCCCGAUCGUCGUCGACCCUCGAGCCUGAGGCAGCCAAGGGACCUGGGGGGAGGACCAUGGAGCUUGCCUCUGCGGGCGUGCAGCGCCGCGCCUGAGGCUGGGCCGCGCCUCCGGUAGCGCCAUGGAUAGCCGGUGCUAUGGAUGCGCGUCCAAGUUCUCUGUCUUCAAGAAAGAGUGUGGCUGCAAGAACUGCGGACGGUCGUUCUGCUCGGGCUGCCGGAGCUUCACUGCUGUUGUUCCCCGCUGUGGAAACACGCAGCAGAAGGUGUGCAAGCAGUGUCAUGAAAAACUAACUGGAGAGGGAUCUCAAAGCAGUUCAGCAAAAUGGUCACCACCAGAAAACUACAAAAAGCGUGUAGCAGCUUUUGAGGCUAAGCAAAACCAGCUGAAAGAGCAACAGAAAGCGGCUGCAAAACCCCCAGGUCGAGCAGGCUCCAGAUACCAGGGGCUCUCAAAAGAGGAUAGAGCUAUUGCAGAGAGACUGGAGAGGCUCAGGGAGGAAAGGAAACCGAAGUCCAUCCCUACUCAGGCUGAGAUUGAAGCUAGGCUGGCUGCCCUGAAGGAGGAUGGCCGGGGUCCUAUUCCAUCCACAGAGGAGAUGGAGGAUCGGUUGGCUGUCCUGCAGGGGAGAGAUCCUCCUUCCCAGGCUCGCAGACCUGUACACCAGCCUCCUGAUACCAGAAGUCUGGUCCAGCGGACAGAUGACCUGUUAACUCAACUAUCUGAGGAAGUUGCCAUUGAUGAGCAUUACAGACCAAGAGUUCAGCCUCAAGCUGUUAGUAGCCAAAGUUUGAAUGAUCUCAAUCGAGACAGUGAAGAUUGUGUUUGCCCUGCAAAUCUGGACCCAAAACAGCUAGAGGAAGAGAAGAACAAACUUCUGGCAGAAGCCGCUGCUGAGCUGCAGGAAGAGAAUACCAGGCAGGAGAAGAUCUUACAGGUUGCCAAGAGACUGGCAGCACUCAAAGGCGAGGACCCAGAGAAAGUUACACUGGAAAACUAUAAACUUCCUGACAGUGAUGAGGAAGUGGCUGAGGAGGAAGCCAUUCGCAGAGUGCUAAAACAGCUCACAGAGGAAGCAGCCCUGGAUGAAGCAAGUGGAUUCAACAUUCCUCCAGAUCAGACCACCCAACCAGGACCCUCACAACAGAACCUGUGUAAGAAAGCAAAGCAAAAGGGCCAGACUCCAACCACCACAGCUCUUGCCAGGGCAGAUAGUGAUGAGGAUGAGUUACCCUGGUGCUGUAUCUGCAACGAAGAUGCCACUUUGCGCUGCCAUGGCUGUGAUGGGGACCUCUACUGCCAGCGCUGUUUUCGGGAAGGCCAUGAUGAGUUUGACCUGAUGGACCACCACACCUCCCGCUAUCAUCUUCCUUGCAAGCAGAAGUGAUCCCAUUCUUCAUAAGCAGUAAAGAAGGUGGAGAAUGGGAAAACAGAGGAGCCGACCAGAUGGGAGGAAGAGUCCAAGUGGAUUUGCAGCCAAAACGGGUGAUGUUUUGGACAGUUAAAGGAUGUGCUGUAAUCUGAGAGAGGUUUGGAGGGCAUAUGACUUUGUCCUCACAAAUACUCCAGAGAAGUGCAUGGUUUGCUGUGUAUGCUUGGGAAUAAACGAGGAGGUGGAUACGAGUCCAUAAAUACAGACGCGGACAGAACAAAAGAAGUCUCGACGAGCUCCUGAGAAUUGUGUUCAGUGCUCCUUGGCCAGCAUGGAAAUUCCUAGAAGAAACUAAAGGAAGGACACCUUGUCCUGUUCCCCAGGCUAACAUGCUCUUUAAGAAUCAAGAUGUACACUCUAGCUGCCUGCUAUGUGUGUAGAUCUGGAAGCAGUGGAGACUUCAAACCACUGGUACAAAGUUCACAAACUUGGUGAUGUUUCUCAGUAAUAAGUCCUAAACAUAUUCAGAAGUGCUGUUGCUGAUCCUGGUUUUUGUAGAGAAGACACACGUUUCCUUGUGACCAAAGCUGGGUGUUCCAUGUGAGCAAGGUCAUUUCUUCUGAGGAUUGGUGACUCUCCGGAGACCUUUCAAUCGACUAAGCAAUUCCGUAAUGAAGUCCUACAGUAAGAAUUGGUUAAAGAAGGAUGUCAUAUUAAUUCCAGUGCUCACCAGCCCAAAAAGUACUAGGGCACUUGCAUCAUUCCCACAUUUGCCUUUAUGUUGAGCAGAAACCAGAAUUUUGACAUACUUUGAGCAAACCUAUCUUUUAGCUUAGGAAAGGAGACCUUUUGAUGGAUCAAAAGGAUCUUAAAAGCUCCUCUACUUCCCUUCCCCUGUUUCCCUCUGGAACAGCCAUGUUUAUUUUCUCCCUAGGAGCUAGCCUGCCCCUCUUCAUCCCAGAUACCUGCUUUUUCUACCUUGAGAUGACCUCGGGAUGCUGUUGUCCUCUGUUAGGUUCCACUGCUUCCUGUUGCCACCAUAACCUCCUGCCCACUUCUUCUGCCUUUCCAAUCUAGGGCAAAGCAAGCUGUCCCUCUUGUUGAACCUGUAAAGCUCCAUGUUGUGGAUUGCAAACCAUCUUGGAGCUGUGCCAGCUCUACAAGGAAGUGGCUGGCAGAGAAGAGGUGGAGCAAAACACAUGUAGGACUAAUGAUAACGUUGAGCAGGGGUUGAGGGGAGGCAGAGCAGAUAGAUGAGCAGUUAAUGGAGAUAAACCCUGAAUACUUUGCUGACACAGCCAAGGACUAUGAACUGAACUGGACCAACUGGUUAUUCCAAGCAGAGGGCAAUGUGCAAACUUUACUCUCUGCAUGACAAGUAACAUCACCAUAAAGAAGUGUGCAGCCUUUCUUCACCCAAAGACAUAGCUACAUGUCCUUGUAAUUAGGCAAGGUCACUGGAACUAUUGCAGCUUAUUAGCAUUUGUGCUGUGUGGAAGCCCAGCUUCCUCACUUCAGUAUCAGACGUUGCCACAACUUGCUCUGGAAGUAAAUGCCUAGGAUCAUUCAUUCCUUUUCAGUUAGUCCUUUCAGAGGAAACCACUUUGUUUCUUGUCUGCCUUCUGGAAUUAGGUUGCUGAGAUCUUUCAAGAGGAUUCAAGAUCACCAGGGUAAAAGUACAUAGGUUUGCCAAUGGGGUAGCAGUAUCUGUAUUCAGCAGGUACCCUGCUGCCCACAAGACACCUUCGUGGCUUAUGAGUCAGUAGAGCAAACUCUUUUCAAUUAUCACUCAGGGAAUGUGGGAUUCUUGCCUCAGAUCUGAAAUUCACACACUCUGAAAACUAUUUCUGUAUUGCCAGCUUUGUUGACCCCCUGCUAGGAGACUAUCUGUAAUGAUUGCUACAGCCCAGUUUAAUUUCAGUGAUAGUCAUGCAUUCAUCUCAUUUUCUGUAUAUUCAUCACUGUACAGCUACAUAGGCUCGACAGGAUGUGGAGCCUGAGGAACGAUGUCUGAGCACAAUGUUCACAUGCAAUGCAUGUGGCUGAAGCAGUGAUGGGGACCCCAUUUUGCACAGGUAUUCAAUGCAGCAAAGGCAGUUCCUCUGUGAUGCAUGCACUACACUGCAUGCAUCACUACACAGGCUCCACUCCUCUGGACGUUGUGGCUGCUUGUGGGACUUUUUAACUCUCUAACUCAAGAUCAAUACUUGUAAAGUUCACAUGGGGAAAAGAAACCCACAUGUAUAACUAACUUACAUGGCAGUUAUCUGCCCAAUCCAACAUGAAGACCAUCUUACAUUCUUGUCAUUCAUAACCAUAGAGUGGUUAAAGCUAAGAAUGCAUUUAGUUGGCAGUGUGCAAUAUUGUUACGUGAACUGUAUUGCUAUCUAUGGCUUUUCUACACUGAGGACCAAAUAGCAACUCAGCAUAGUCAUUCCAAAAUUCCAAAACAUGGAAUGAAUGAACUUUCUUUGGUUGUAAAGCAUAAUUCCUUAUUUCCUCCAGAGCUCUGCCUUCAGCUCACCCACGUAGAUUUACAUGUAAUUUUGUAACACAGCAGAAUAAAGUGGCAAACACCUCCCAUUAGGAUUAAAUGAAUCUACGGUACAGUAAUAUCUUGACUAUUCAGCCAAGCAGCAACAGACACAUUGUAGCAGCACAGUAUAAUAUAUAACUAACAUACAUACAUGUAUAUGGUGCUUCACUCACCUCUGUAGGGCUGGAGCACUCAUGGAGGAUUUCCUAAAAAAACAAGGAGUCAUCAUUUUAGUAUUUAUGAGUUGAUCUAAUCAUCUCCUCUCUACAAAAAAUGUAUAUAAUCUUACUACCUCUGACAAGUGAAAACACAGGGAAGCAUCAUACAACACUGGAAACACAUAUUCUCUACCCCCCACACCACUACUCUAAGAAGUCCCUAAUCUAAAGUCACCAAGUCUCUCUAUCUGACCUGUAGUUUUAAUUUCUGUUCUUCAUUAGGGACCUCCAGGAGAUCUUCAAGAUCAAUUUGUGGUUCAGGAGCUGCUGUCUCUGUUUCUUCCCUUAGCUAAAAAGAAAAAAACCCACCACAGUUAAUAAACCUUCCAACAUCUGAGAACUCUAGAGUCCAUCUUUAAAGAACUGAGCAGCUGAGUUACAAUAAAACUGUGCUGCAAAAUUGAAGUCAUGAUAUAAAUCAUCUCAAAAUAAGGAUGUUCUUAUAAAGAGGGCACAGAUUCCAGCCCUUUUGUGUAGUCUGCUAGAAUCACACCUCCUGAUGUACACAUUCUUCAUCUUUUCCCACCACUGCACUGCUCAGGGAUCAUAAUCCAUCAUGGAAAGACCCUUUCAAGAGUAUCCAACUGCAGUGCAAUUUAAGACAGCCUGUGACACCCCUCAUCUAUGAAGAGUUCACCAAACAAAUCCAGCAGGCUUAGUGUUUGAGAGGCACAAAUAAUACAGGAAGAUUUUAGGCUUUUAUGCUAAUUACAUUCACAUACUUUGUAUUUAUACUAAGGCUUUUUGCAGCAAUGGAGAGAAAAACAAUUAUGCUGUUGAAAGACCUAACAGUAUUUUGCCAGCUUUCUCUAACAGACAUGAGUGGGACAUAAUAGUCUUCUUUAAUGUAAGAGGGACCCCAAGUUUUGGUGACUGGAGUAAUAAUCUUAUACUACAUCGGGGUGUUAGUUGGAAACAUUUGUAAAACUUGAUCGCGGACACAUUAAAGCUUCAAAAGUCUCUACAAGUCUUUAAGGAAAGCAGGUUGUGGUUUUCCAGUGUAUUUGCAAAAUGAAUCUUUCACAGCACAACACUAGUGCUAUUUUGACAUAAUAAUCAGCAGAGUAAGGAUACUGGGUAAACAGCACAGUACGUGAUUACGAACUAGCAUUUACAGAUAUAUGUGUAAAACAUUAAACAUAAAGGCAAUACUUACAGGAAAAAAAGAAACUUUUUCUUAGCAGUGUCUGAUAUUUCUCUGUAUGCCAGAGAGGAAGUAGAAAGCCUUUGUUUAACUGUGAUAUGCAGCUAACUUAACAAUAAAUAAUAAACCAGAGUUAAAUAUA
Molecule: RNA transcript, 5444 nt
Organism: Pseudopipra pipra
Lineage: Eukaryota; Metazoa; Chordata; Aves; Passeriformes; Pipridae
Gene: ZFYVE19
Gene name: zinc finger FYVE-type containing 19
Exons: 12
Source: RefSeq, a predicted model, not a curated record